This 205-nucleotide ribosomal RNA is filed under the name Stenotrophomonas maltophilia. RNAcentral describes it as "partial 23S ribosomal RNA". It matches the Rfam family "Bacterial large subunit ribosomal RNA", at positions 1034 to 1239 of the family's 2925-position model. Lineage: Bacteria; Pseudomonadati; Pseudomonadota; Gammaproteobacteria; Lysobacterales; Lysobacteraceae. The record is from RNAcentral.
CACAGCUAAGGUCCCAAAUUUUGUGCUAAGUGGAAAACCAUGUGGAAAGGCACAGACAGCCAGGAGGUUGGCUUAGAAGCAGCCACCCUUUAAAGAAAGCGUAAUAGCUCACUGGUCGAGUCGGUCUGCGGGGAAGAUUUAACGGGGCUAAGCACAGAACCGAAGCUUGGGGUGCAUAACUUUGUUAUGCGCGGUAGAGGAGCGU